GAUGAACGCUAGCUACAGGCUUAACACAUGCAAGUCGAGGGGUAACGAGAGGAAAGCUUGCUUUCCUUGUCGACGACCGGCGCACGGGUGAGUAACGCGUAUCCAACCUGCCCCCAACUAGGGAAUAACCUUGCGAAAGUAAGACUAAUACCCUAUAAUUUCCUCAGAUGCCAUCUGACGAGGAAUAAAGAUUUAUCGGUUGUGGAUGGGGAUGCGUCUGAUUAGCUUGUUGGCGGGGUAACGGCCAACCAAGGCAACGAUCAGUAGGGGUUCUGAGAGGAAGGUCCCCAACAUUGGAACUGAGACACGGUCCAAACUCCUACGGGAGGCAGCAGUGAGGAAUAUUGGUCAAUGGGCGGAAGCCUGAACCAGCCAAGUAGCGUGCAGGAUGACGGCCCUAUGGGUUGUAAACUGCUUUUAUACAGGAAUAAAGUUAGCCACGUGUGGUUAUUUGUAGGUACUGUAUGAAUAAGGACCGGCUAAUUCCGUGCCAGCCGCCGCCGUAA
This 506-nucleotide ribosomal RNA is filed under the name uncultured bacterium. Its description in RNAcentral is "partial 16S ribosomal RNA". It matches the Rfam family "Bacterial small subunit ribosomal RNA", at positions 28 to 523 of the family's 1533-position model. The record is from RNAcentral.